UGGGGAAUUUUGGACAAUGGGCGCAAGCCUGAUCCAGCCAUGCCGCGUGCGGGAAGAAGGCCUUCGGGUUGUAAACCGCUUUUGUCAGGGAAGAAAUCUUCUGAGUUAAUACCUCGGGAGGAUGACGGUACCUGAAGAAUAAGCACCGGCUAACUACGUGCCAGCAGCCGCGGUAAUACGUAGGGUGCAAGCGUUAAUCGGAAUUACUGGGCGUAAAGCGUGCGCAGGCGGCUUUGUAAGACAGAGGUGAAAUCCCCGGGCUCAACCUGGGAACUGCCUUUGUGACUGCAAGGCUUGAGUGCGGCAGAGGGGGGAUGGAAUUCCGCGUGUAGCAGUGAAAUGCGUAGAUAUGCGGAGGAACACCCGAUGGCGAAGGCAAAUCCCGUAGGGCCCUGGCACUGACGCUCAUGCACGAAAGCGUGGGGAGCAAAACAGGAUUAGAUACCCUGGUAGUCCACGCCCUAAACGAUGUCAACUGGUUGUUGGGAAGGUUCCUUCUCAGUAACGUAGCUAACGCGUGAAGUUGACCGCCUGGGGAGUACGGCCGCAA
This 550-nucleotide ribosomal RNA is filed under the name uncultured bacterium. RNAcentral describes it as "partial 16S ribosomal RNA". It matches the Rfam family "Bacterial small subunit ribosomal RNA", at positions 355 to 891 of the family's 1533-position model. The record is from RNAcentral.